AGUUGUAUCCUGGCUCAGGAUGAACGCUAGCGGUAUGCCUAACACAUGCAAGUCGUACGAGGGUUUCAUACCCAAGUGGCGGACGGGUGAGUAACACGUGAGAAUUUGCCCUAAGGAGGGGGAUAACAACUGGAAACGGUUGCUAAAACCCCAUAUGCUUCCGAGUGAAAUAGAUUUAUCUGCCUUAGGAGAAGCUCGCGGCUGAUUAGCUAGUUGGUAAGGUAAUGGCUUACCAAGGCGACGAUCAGUAUCUGGUUUGAGAGGACGAUCAGACACACUGGAACUGAGACACGGUCCAGACUCCUACGGGAGGCAGCAGUGGGGAAUUUUCCGCAAUGGGCGAAAGCCUGACGGAGCAAUACCGCGUGAAGGAAGACGGCCUAUGGGUUGUAAACUUCUUUUUUCAGGGAGGAACUCAAUGACGUGUACCUGAAGAAUAAGCAUCGGCUAACUCCGUGCCAGCAGCCGCGGUAAGACGGAGGAUGCAAGUGUUAUCCGGAAUCACUGGGCGUAAAGCGUCUGUAGGUGGUUUAAUAAGUCGACUGUUAAAUCUUGAGGCUUAACCUCAAAAUCGCAUUCGAAACUAUUAGACUUGAGUAUAGUAGAGGUAAAGGGAAUUUCCAGUGGAGCGGUGAAAUGCGUAGAUAUUGGAAAGAACACCGAUGGCGAAGGCACUUUACUGGGCUAUUACUGACACUCANAGACGAAAGCUAGGGUAGCAAAUGGGAUUAGAUACCCCAGUAGUCCUAGCCGUAAACAAUGGGAUACUAGAUGUUGGACAGAUCGACCCUGUGCAGUAUCAAA
Molecule: ribosomal RNA, 804 nt
Filed under: uncultured bacterium
Lineage: Bacteria
Description: bacterial SSU rRNA
Rfam family: Bacterial small subunit ribosomal RNA
Source: RNAcentral